GAUGAACGCUGGCGGCGUGCCUAAUACAUGCAAGUAGAACGCUGAAGGAAGGAGCUUGCUCUUUCCGGAUGAGUUGCGAACGGGUGAGUAACGCGUAGGUAACCUGCCUGGUAGCGGGGGAUAACUAUUGGAAACGAUAGCUAAUACCGCAUAACAGUAGAUGUUGCAUGAUAUCUACUUAAAAGGUGCAAUUGCACCACUACCAGAUGGACCUGCGUUGUAUUAGCUAGUUGGUGAGGUAACGGCUCACCAAGGCGACGAUACAUAGCCGACCUGAGAGGGUGGUCGGCCAACCUGGGACUGGGAACCGGCCCAGACUCCUUCGGGAGGCAGCAGGAGGGAAACUUCGGCAAUUGACGGAAGUCUUACCGAGCAACGCCGCGUGAGUGAAGAAGGGUUUCGGAUCGUAAAGCUCUGUUGUAAGAGAAGAACGAGUGUGAGAGUGGAAAGUUCACACUGUGACGGUAUCUUACCAGAAAGGGACGGCUAACUACGUG
This 497-nucleotide ribosomal RNA is filed under the name uncultured bacterium. RNAcentral's name for it is "partial 16S ribosomal RNA". It matches the Rfam family "Bacterial small subunit ribosomal RNA", at positions 28 to 507 of the family's 1533-position model. The record is from RNAcentral.